CGCACCUUGCGCUCCUUGGUAUUCCGAGGAGCAUGCCUGUUUGAGUGUCUUGAAGUCAUCAACCCACACCGUUUGAAACGGUAUGCGUGUUGGAGCUGGGGGCUUGCUGCCGAGAGGUGGCUCCCCUCAAAUGCAUCGGUUGGGCCUGUGGGUCGAACUCGAUUGGGUGUUGUAUUAUCCUCGCUCUAACGAGAUGUUCCCCUAUUUGUGCCCCUCCACGACCUGCCUUCAUGAGUGGCGGGUCAAGCAAAACUUUGAAAUUCUGACCUCAAAUCAGGUAGGACUACCCGCUGAACUUAA
RNAcentral lists this unclassified non-coding RNA (300 nucleotides) under Trechispora sp. RNAcentral describes it as "partial contains 5.8S ribosomal RNA, internal transcribed spacer 2, and large subunit ribosomal RNA". The record is from RNAcentral. Lineage: Eukaryota; Fungi; Basidiomycota; Agaricomycetes; Trechisporales; Hydnodontaceae.